AUUGCCUCAGUAACGGCGAGUGAAGCGGCAAGAGCUCAAAUUUGAAAGCUGGCCCCUCCGGGGUCCGCGUUGUAAUUUGCAGAGGAUGCUUCGGGUGCGGCCCCUGUCUAAGUGCCCUGGAACGGGCCAUCGGAGAGGGUGAAAAUCCCGUCUGGGAUGGGGUGUCCGCGCCCGUGUGAAGCUCCUUCGACGAGUCGAGUUGUUUGGGAAUGCAGCUCUAAAUGGGUGGUAAAUUUCAUCUAAAGCUAAAUACUGGCCGGAGACCGAUAGCGCACAAGUAGAGUGAUCGAAAGAUGAAAAGCACUUUGAAAAGAGAGUUAAAUAGCACGUGAAAUUGUUGAAAGGGAAGCGCUUGCGACCAGACUCGCUCGCGGGGUUCAGCCGGGAUUCGUCCCGGUGCACUUCCCCGCGGGCGGGCCAGCGUCGGUUUGGGCGGCCGUUCAAAGGCCCCGGGAAUGUAGCGCCCUUCGGGGCGCCUUAUAGCCCGGGGUGCAAUGCGGCCAGCCCGGACCGAGGAACGCGCUUCGGCACGGACGCUGGCAUAAUGGUCGCAAACGACCCGUCUUGAAACACGGACCAAGGAGUCUAACAUCUACGCGAGUGUUCGGGUGUCAAACCCGUGCGCGCAGUGAAAGCGAACGGAGGUGGGAGCCCCCUGAGGGGCGCACCAUCGACCGAUCCUGAUGUCUUCGGAUGGAUUUGAGUAGGAGCGUAGCUGUGGGGACCCGAAAGAUGGUGAACUAUGCCUGAAUAGGGCGAAGCCAGAGGAAACUCUGGUGGAGGCUCGCAGCGGUUCUGACGUGCAAAUCGAUCGUCAAAUUUGGGUAUAGGGGCGAAAGACUAAU
Molecule: ribosomal RNA, 845 nt
Filed under: Aspergillus arenarioides
Lineage: Eukaryota; Fungi; Ascomycota; Eurotiomycetes; Eurotiales; Aspergillaceae
Description: partial large subunit ribosomal RNA
Rfam family: Eukaryotic large subunit ribosomal RNA
Source: RNAcentral